UUCAUGCUGAGGGAGCUCCCUCCUGGGGCCGUUGGGAACGACGAGUCUGCGAAGAGGUCUACUCGAGGCUCGAAAGGGCGAAAGAGGGAAAGUCGGGUCACGGAGGUUCCAGAGAUUUCAGGGCACGAGCUGAUCUGCAGCUCUGGCGAAG
Molecule: non-coding RNA, 151 nt
Filed under: Chloropicon laureae
Lineage: Eukaryota; Viridiplantae; Chlorophyta; Chloropicophyceae; Chloropicales; Chloropicaceae
Also listed under: 1 other name
Source: RNAcentral